GCCAUCGCAUUCCAUCUGGCUGCCUCACCUGGUGGGGAGGAGGCUGUGAGAGAGUGCUAACGCUGAGGCACCAGCCGUCUGCUCACUGAGGUGCAGUAAGGGGUGGAGUUGGGGAAUGGUGUGCCAGGAUCUCCUGCCCCACUGAGCGACCAGGGAAGUCAGAGAGGAUGGAGACCAGCUGACCUCAGACCAUCAGGAAGCCUCGUGGAACUCAUGAUGCACAUGGACUUGUAGGAAGUGGCAAUAGGAGGUCUCGGGCUCAGCUCAAAGGGCUCAGCUUAGACAAAAGCUUAAAAAAGUUAACUCUCUUGCCUGUUUCACAAUGUGUCUUUCUCCACUCCCUCCCAGAAAAGAAGAGGAGGGGGUGUAGGCAGAGUUGAUUGACUAGGGGCAAGGAUCGCUUUAUCUGGAGAGGUGGAAAGAGCAAGUCUGCAAGUGUGGCCUCAUCCUGAGAUGUUUGGGCUCAAAGGUCUCAUCAGGUGAUCUGACCUUUGCCUCCAUGGAUUUCUGGCAUCUUGGAAUAAGUAGCAUCAACCUUUUAGCCUUGGAAAAGUCUCUAGAGGGAUUAGGGUUCCCUGGACUUCAUACCAAGACUUUGCUUGGUUCUCUGUAUUUCUACUGACUGGUCCAGCAAAGUAGAGAAGUUGUAAGAAUCUUAACUUGGACUGUAUAAUUAUACUCAGAUCACAAAAGGAGACUGUAAACACCUCUACAAUGAGAGGAUAUAUAGAAUGUCACUGGAGGCACGUAGAUUGUCCAAAAACCAAAGGAGAAACAAUUGUAAGCCAAGACGUCUCUCUGUUAUGUAAUCAAGAGUCAGGAAGCCACAAUUCACACAAAUUACUUUUCUCUGUUCUUCUAAAAGAAAAAAUAUUCAUCACAAUAAAACAACUAAUACCAGGUCAGUUCUGUGCUUCUCUCCUAUGUCUGAAAUAUAAAGCGAUAGUAGUGCAGGCAGAGGGGAUUUCCC
Molecule: long non-coding RNA, 970 nt
Filed under: Equus asinus (donkey)
Lineage: Eukaryota; Metazoa; Chordata; Mammalia; Perissodactyla; Equidae
Description: lncRNA (ENSEASG00005031504.1)
Source: RNAcentral